GGCCCCAGAGAUUUGGACAUCUCAGCUGGAGGAGAAGGAUGGGAAGCUGUGACUGACACUCCGCAGGAGUGGGCUGGAGCAGUAGCCAUGCGUCAACACUGGGGGAAGCCCUGAGUGCCUACCCACAGACUGCCUUCUGAAAUAGUCUGUAUGGGCAUCCCUACUCUCAGAUCUCCAGACACUGGGGGCCAAUCCAUGCUGUCAUUGCUUUCUUUAUGCUAAGCUGUUUCUGUGCCUUCACUUGCCACAGGUGGUGUGGAAGACAAUGUGAAAGUGAAAAUUAGCUGCCCCUGAGACAAUUCCACAAGUAAGACACAUGUUAUCUGACAUGCAACUGCAAGUGGAAACCUCAGAUGGGAGCUUGAAAGUGCAAAUACUAUGAAUCUUACGGCAAAGUAACUAUUGUUGGGGAAUCACUAAGCCCUGAAAGCAAGCUGUAUUUUGAUGAUGAGAAUUGGAAAGGUCCCUUUGCCAAUGGGACUUGGGCUUUAAAGGGGAAUUACUGGAUUUGUGGCCGAUACGCUUACUGCAGAUCCCCGAACUGGUCAGGGAUAUGUUAUGUGGGGUAUAUUAGACCAUUGUUCUUUCUGCCACCACAAGUUCA
Cyanistes caeruleus (blue tit) is the source of this 604-nucleotide long non-coding RNA. RefSeq lists it as uncharacterized. NCBI's taxonomy places the organism in Eukaryota, Metazoa, Chordata, Aves, Passeriformes, Paridae. The record is from RefSeq and is a predicted model, not a curated record.